Molecule: ribosomal RNA, 678 nt
Filed under: uncultured bacterium
Lineage: Bacteria
Description: bacterial SSU rRNA
Rfam family: Bacterial small subunit ribosomal RNA
Source: RNAcentral
CGCGGACGGUGAGUAAUGCCUAGGAAUCUGCCUGGUAGUGGGGAUAACGUUCGGAAACGGACGCUAAUACCGCAUACGUCCUACGGGAGAAAGCAGGGGACCUUCGGGCCUUGCGCUAUCAGAUGAGCCUAGGUCGGAUUAGCUAGUUGGUGGGGUAAUGGCUCACCAAGGCGACGAUCCGUAACUGGUCUGAGAGGAUGAUCAGUCACACUGGAACUGAGACACGGUCCAGACUCCUACGGGAGGCAGCAGUGGGGAAUAUUGGACAAUGGGCGAAAGCCUGAUCCAGCCAUGCCGCGUGUGUGAAGAAGGUCUUCGGAUUGUAAAGCACUUUAAGUUGGGAGGAAGGGUUGUAGAUUAAUACUCUGCAAUUUUGACGUUACCGACAGAAUAAGCACCGGCUAACUCUGUGCCAGCAGCCGCGGUAAUACAGAGGGUGCAAGCGUUAAUCGGAAUUACUGGGCGUAAAGCGCGCGUAGGUGGUUAGUUAAGUUGGAUGUGAAAUCUCCGGGCUCAACCUGGGAACUGCAUUCAAAACUGACUGACUAGAGUAUGGUAGAGGGUGGUGGAAUUUCCUGUGUAGCGGUGAAAUGCGUAGAUAUAGGAAGGAACACCAGUGGCGAAGGCGACCACCUGGACUGAUACUGACACUGAGGUGCGAAAGCGUGGGGAGCAAAC